CCUACGGGUGGCAGCAGUGGGGAAUAUUGGACAAUGGGCGAAAGCCUGAUCCAGCCAUGCCGCGUGUGUGAAGAAGGCCUUCGGGUUGUAAAGCACUUUCAGUGGGGAAGAAAGCCUUGGGGCUAAUACCCUCGAGGAAGGACAUCACCCACAGAAGAAGCACCGGCUAACUCCGUGCCAGCAGCCACGGUAAUACGGAGGGUGCGAGCGUUAAUCGGAAUUACUGGGCGUAAAGCGCGCGUAGGCGGUCUGAUAAGCCGGUUGUGAAAGCCCCGGGCUCAACCUGGGAACGGCAUCCGGAACUGUCAGGCUAGAGUGCAGGAGAGGAAGGUAGAAUUCCCGGUGUAGCGGUGAAAUGCGUAGAGAUCGGAAGGAAUACCAGUGGCGAAGGCGGCCUUCUGGACUGACACUGACGCUGAGGUGCGAAAGCGUGGGUAGCAAACAGGAUUAGAUACCCUAGUAGUC
This 465-nucleotide ribosomal RNA is filed under the name Vreelandella stevensii. RNAcentral's name for it is "partial 16S ribosomal RNA". It matches the Rfam family "Bacterial small subunit ribosomal RNA", at positions 338 to 795 of the family's 1533-position model. The record is from RNAcentral. Lineage: Bacteria; Pseudomonadati; Pseudomonadota; Gammaproteobacteria; Oceanospirillales; Halomonadaceae.